CCUACGGGUGGCAGCAGUGAGGAAUAUUGGUCAAUGGACGAGAGUCUGAACCAGCCAAGUAGCGUGAAGGAUGACGGCCCUCUGGGUUGUAAACUGCUUUUAUAUGGGAAUAAAAUGUUCCACGUGUGCCAUUUCGUAUGUACCUUAUGAAUAAGAGUCGGCUCACCCCGUGCCAGCAGCGGCGGUAAUACGGAGGAGCCGAGCGUUAUCCGGAUUUAUUGGGUUUAAAGGGAGCGUCGGUGGAUUGUUAAGUCAGUUGUGAAAGUUUGCGGCUCAACCGUGCAAUUGCAGUUGAGACUGGCAGGCUUGAGUACAGUAGAGGUGGGCGGAAUUCGUGGUGUAGCGGUGAAAUGCGUAGAGAUCACGAGGAACUCCGAUGGCGAAGGCAGCUCACUGGAC
RNAcentral lists this ribosomal RNA (399 nucleotides) under uncultured bacterium. RNAcentral describes it as "partial 16S ribosomal RNA". It matches the Rfam family "Bacterial small subunit ribosomal RNA", at positions 338 to 734 of the family's 1533-position model. The record is from RNAcentral.